UACGUAGGCAGCGAGCGUUGUUCGGAGUUACUGGGCGUAAAGAGUGCGUAGGCGGUUUUCUAAGUUUGGUGUGAAAUCCCCCGGCUUAACUGGGAGGGUGCGCCGAAAACUGGAAGGCUUGAGUAUGGGAGAGGUAAGCGGAAUUCCUGGUGUAGCGGUGAAAUGCGUAGAUAUCAGAAGGAACACCUGCGGUGUAGACGGCUUACUGGACCAUAACUGACGCUGAGGCACGAAAGCGUGGGUAGCAAACAGG
This 253-nucleotide ribosomal RNA is filed under the name uncultured bacterium. Its description in RNAcentral is "partial 16S ribosomal RNA". It matches the Rfam family "Bacterial small subunit ribosomal RNA", at positions 524 to 776 of the family's 1533-position model. The record is from RNAcentral.